This 1098-nucleotide long non-coding RNA is filed under the name Salvator merianae (Argentine black and white tegu). RNAcentral describes it as "lncRNA (ENSSMRG00000012511.1)". Lineage: Eukaryota; Metazoa; Chordata; Lepidosauria; Squamata; Teiidae. The record is from RNAcentral.
AUGCUGCUCAAGAGCCGUAAGAAAGUGUCCAACCUGCGCUUCCGCUGCAUCGUAGAGCCUGUGAAGGUGACCGUGAAAAUGGGGAAACUGCAUGAGCCCAAGGUCUGCUGUCCCCAGGCUGGGAGAAAGACUAAGGCCUACUAUUUGGGGGAAUGGUCAACCCAUCAAGGCACGGGGGAGAAGAAAGCCAGUUGGUACAGGAGUCAGCAGCACCAUCGGAGCAGCCAGUGCAGUUCCAACCUCUCAGAUGCUGAAACCCCCCAGCCAGCAUGUCCUGCUGGAUCAGUCGCUUCAUGGGUGCGUUACAGCUUUAGUCCCCCAGAACGUGCAGCUGAAGGAGGGAGCAGCUCAGCCCGCUAUGGGCUCCAUGCACGUAAUCACCAAAGAGCCACAGGUGAUAAGCAAAAUGGCCUGGAGAUACCAAGAGAGGGCCCAGAAGGACGGCGAUUCCUGCAGCAUUCUGUCGGCAUGAACACAGAGGAACCUGCUGCUCCCUGUUCAGAACAUCCCCACGAGCACUUCAACCCUCCGUCGAGCAAGACAAAUUUCAUUCCUAGCCCAAUCUUACCAGGCCCCAGGCAGGUAGUGUAUUCAGCCCUGGCAUCAGAAACAAUAUCCCGAACCCAUCUCAAUGGUGAGGAUUAUGCCUAUCCACAUUCCCCAAGGGGCCCCCAGCAUCGCCUUGGGCUAGAGUGGCGCCAACAUCUGCCAGCGGCGCAGCAAGCUGAAGUAUAUGUCUAUUUGAUCAGUCCACCAUUGCCCAGCCCAGAACACAAUCCUGAGCAACCCAACCAUCCCUUUGCAGCAUCUGGCAAGGAUACGCUAGCAAACAGGAUGUCACUUAGCCAGAGCAGAGGCAGUUCUAGCCAGGGUCCAGGAGGCCAGGGCAGCAGUGGCAUACACAAGCAACGCAAGAGCAUCUGGGAGAGAAAGCACCAGAGAAAAUCCUUGCAGCCAAAUUCAGACUAUGAAAAGCUGGCUGGAAGCAGUGGCGGUGCCAGCCUGGGUCAUCAUGAACCAUUUUCCCACAAUCCACCUCUCUCAGCAGACAGGGGAAGGGGACUCCUCAACGCAACACCACCCACCAUUGCCAGUUGA